UACGUAGGGUGCAAGCGUUAUCCGGAAUUAUUGGGCGUAAAGAGCUCGUAGGCGGUUUGUCACGUCUGCUGUGAAAACUGGAGGCUCAACCUCCAGCCUGCAGUGGGUACGGGCAGACUAGAGUGCGGUAGGGGAGAUUGGAAUUCCUGGUGUAGCGGUGGAAUGCGCAGAUAUCAGGAGGAACACCGAUGGCGAAGGCGGCUACCUGGACAUCAACUGACGCUGAGACGCGAAAGCGUGGGGAGCAAACAGG
RNAcentral lists this ribosomal RNA (253 nucleotides) under uncultured bacterium. Its description in RNAcentral is "partial 16S ribosomal RNA". It matches the Rfam family "Bacterial small subunit ribosomal RNA", at positions 524 to 776 of the family's 1533-position model. The record is from RNAcentral.